Molecule: long non-coding RNA, 696 nt
Organism: Juglans regia (Persian walnut)
Lineage: Eukaryota; Viridiplantae; Streptophyta; Magnoliopsida; Fagales; Juglandaceae
Exons: 3
Source: RefSeq, a predicted model, not a curated record
AUUAUCUUCUCUUUUGUUCUUCAAGAAACUAGACUCCUCUCAUCUCCUUUGAGCCAAGCAUCCAUUUUUCCCUCUUUUCAAGAGGAAAACAACAAGUUUUGGGGUUUAAAACAGUGAUAUCAUGUUGCUCUUCAUCCACACAGCUAUACCUCUAUAGGGUCUUCCACUUUUGUUUUGAAAGGAGCUACGAGCUUAAGAAUGCAAGGGGUGUUUGCCCAUAUGGUGUGCAUCCUGACUUCUCGACAUCCUGCCAAAUCCCAAAUGGGUGUUGAUAGCAUCGCAAUAGAUCUUAUCCAUUGUUUGAAGGUACUACUCCUGAUGUGUUACUGAAGAGCAUGCCAAUCACGUGCUUUGCAUAAGGACAUUUCAAUCAUUUGGAAUCAUUUGCAUUUAUUUGCCACAUGUAUAAGACACUUGUUGCAUAGAUGGCACAGAAACAUCAGACGUACACAUCAUCGUUCAGUCUACGAGUGGACGUAAUUUCUAAUCGAAGGAUCUUGUUCACAACAUUGUCCAACACAUGGGAGCAUUGCUAAAAAAAAGUAAAGGAUGCCUAAACUAAAUAGGCCAAAGCAUAGGGGUGUGUCGUCACAACUUCGUUUAAAUUUUAGCGUAUAUUAAUUUUGGAAUGUCCUUGUAUAUUUGUAUAGAAACUUAUUUUGUGAGCCAAAUGUUGUAUUCAUCAUUGUGCCUAUG